Molecule: long non-coding RNA, 4162 nt
Organism: Meriones unguiculatus (Mongolian gerbil)
Lineage: Eukaryota; Metazoa; Chordata; Mammalia; Rodentia; Muridae
Exons: 6
Source: RefSeq, a predicted model, not a curated record
AAUUGCGGAGGUCCUCUUCGAGGAUUGGCUGUCCACUCAUAACCAUAAGAUAAUUAAAACAAGGGGGGGGCAGGGUUAAAAAAAACUUUUUAUCAGCCAUAGGUCAAUACAAGUGUUUAACAGAUGUUUCACUAUUAAAAUAUUUACUCCCCCCACCCCCCAUACAGAAGACUCUCAGAGCAGUGUUUUGUAGGUAACUGAGGCAGAACACGGAGCAGGCAGCUUCCUGCCUUUUGUGCUGGUCCGGGGAUAGGGGAGGAAAGGGGUGCUGGUGGCGGCGGCGACCAGAGUCUGGAGGUGGCGGUGUGGCUCCCCCAUUAAGCAACCCGAACGGAGAUCUUGAAGGUUUUCGAAGCGGGGCACCCCGAUUUCUCGAACCUGUGGUGUGGCGAGUACCCGUGUUCCGCUGGUUUAACUAGCCUGUUUGAAGGCACUCAGUUCAUGCUGGAGCAAGUACACCCUCUUCACCUCUAGGGGGUCUUUUCUUUCUGUCUGCAGAAGUGUGUGACUUCAGAAAGAAACUCUCGGUUGGCCAAGGUACACCUCAGAUUAGACCCCAGGUAAAAGAGCAGAGGUGGAGGGCUCCUGCCGUCAGUCUCUGGCGAGAGCGCCCCUAGCGCCAUUUUACUGUCUCUGCCCUUGACGCUUCCCUUUGCAAGGACGUUCCAAAGCCGGUCAAAGGCUACAAAGGUAUCACCUCCAAACCUUGAGCUUUCAAUGCUCAACCUGGUUGGAAUUUUAGCUCAGGGCUAGAUCAGACUGCUAUUUUCCACGACAGAAGGGGAGCGGUGGCACGGAUGCUGGAGGCAAACGGACUCCCACGUUGUCACCAAAUGUUUGUCUAGCCAACCUCUUUGACAAAAGGCCCACCUCCCCAAGCUAGCGAACACUUCCCUGUUACCUCUAGGUCUUUCUACUUUACAGGAGGACUUCCGGUUACGUUUACCCUCCUGCGCCCAUAUCCAGCCUCUCAUUGUUUGAGCUUUUUGGUAGGGGCAUGGAUGCACUUUUGUAGUUCGUUGGGCACAGAUCUGUCAGUCCGCGUGUCCUGUAAGAACACAACUAAUGCUUUGCACAAAAAGAUGCUCUCAAAGCUGGUGGGAAGACGAUUCAGAGAAACUCGGUGUGAAUGUGUGUGUGUGUGCAUGUGUGUGUGCGUCUAAUUGCAAUCAGGUUGUUUUAUUUUAUUUUGAAGGCCAUUAGAGCUGGUAAGCGACUUGGAAGUCAUUUGAAAAGGAACAGACCUUCAAUCCCAAGCCUUGUGGGCACUGGGGAAGUGUCUUCCAAAUCUAAAACUGGCUUUCAUGCUGCACGACCAACCCUGACCUGGCUUCUCUGGUAUCCAUCCCAACCACCCCAAACUCAAGAGUUAGAGGUAGCCAGGGCUGCCUCAACACUCCACCACCAUGGCCAGUUUUCUGUGCCUUGGUUUCUCUCUCCAUUGAAACAGUGGUGGAAAUAAAUCAGGUCUAGGGCUUGUCAGCCAGAUUAAAAACGAUCAAGGGGCCCUCAAGAGAGUUGCCAGAAUAGCAGGCUUCGUUCAAUAAUUAUUCACGUAUUUUCCUCCUGCCUCUUAGCAUUUUUUUUAAUAUUUAUUUAUUUUUAUUUUAAAUUUCGCUCCGGACCUAUCUGCCCUGAAGACCCAUCUUGGCAGCCUUGGGCGUCAGCGGGCCCAGCGCACCCUGCCCGUGCGGCCUAACUCUGGUCUUCCGUAGGAUCGUGCCUUGUUGGUCUCUGCCUCGUUGGCCUCGUGCAAGCAGCGUAAGACCCAGUCUCAGGGGAGACCGCCGAGUCCCCAGUGGCCCCAACGCUGCGGAAAGAGACCGGUGGAGCAGGGGGGUGACGGAGCUGCUAAAGACGCACAGACCUCCUGCGGUCCAGGCCCCGGGAAAGGUGCUGGGUCUCCUCCCCUCCCUUCUGGCCAAAUUCUCAUUUUAUCUGCAUGCCCCUUUGUGGGGCGGACAGGAGAAGGCAAGUCCACCACAUUCAGGUCAGGAGAGAACUUCGCGCGGGUUCCUUCCCCCAGCGCCCCUUCGGACACUUUUCGCCCGAUGCGGGCAGGAAGGGGUUAACCGCGCCGCGUCUCUUGCUCGCCUGGGAGCCCAGGGUGCUGAAGGAAGGCCACGGCUCCCCUCAGCAACCCCGGACUCAUUAAGGCAAACCCUCGCCGCUAUUUUCAACAUUUCCUCAAUCAAGUGCCCUGAAAUAGAGCUGCACAAACAAAUUGGCGGCAAAAGCGUAGAUCUUGUCAGGACGGAGGCGAAUCCAACGUUUCAGCCUUGUUUGCUUUGCAAUUACGGGCUUGGCUUGUGCCCGUGGUGCCACCGGGGCAAAUUUGCUGCCGCCCGCUGACUCCUCUGCACUGGGAGCGGCUGGAGGAAGCGACCCGCCGGGCCACUGCUGAGAUGGGCGGCGCGGUUGGGGGAUGGGGGUGAAGGUGAGGGUGGGGAGGCGGGAGGACGGGGGUGGCCCGGUCGCUAGGGGCUGGCGGAGCCCUAGCCCAGCAGACCCCUGUGCAGAGGGCGUGCAGAGUAGUGUUAAAGACCGGCUUUCCAGGCUCCUGGCUGAGCUACCAAGGUAUAGGCAACAGUAAUAAAAUGUAGACUCCACAUGUGGACACCAGCGUUGUUUCUUGAGCAUCCUUCUUGUCUCCCCACGCUCCCGCCCCUCCGCGUCUCUUCCCCUCUCUCCGGCCCUCUGAACAUUUUCUUUCAGUGCGUGUCAGCGGUUGCUGGACUUCCCCCUGCUCCUUCACUGUUAAACUGCUAGCAUGAUUUGUUGUAUUUGCCAUUGCUGUUUGUUCUUGUUUGACUUUUUGUACAGAGUUAGUUUAAAUCUAUUACAAGAACCAAACCCCAAGUUCCUAGGACAGGCUUUUCCACACUUGCUGUCGGGGGCUUCUAGCUCGAUUUUCUUUCCUUCUGGGGUAGCCUCUAAGCGCCCUGGGGAGGAGGGAGGCCUUCCCGCGCUGGGAGCCUCACUUGUGUCAGCGGAACAGCAGUUAAGUCAGUUCCUAAGCCUUAUAUUUCACAGACAAUUAACUCUUGGCUGCUGUUUAACGAAAUUGUAAUAUUUACUCUGCUCUAUACUGAGGAGCACUUUUGGAGUAAAAAAAAAAAAAAAGCAAAUAUUAUAUUUCAAACAGAAAAUACAAUAAUAAAUCUCUUUUUAUGGAUUCUCCCUGCAUAAGUGGAAACAACAUGAUUUAAGCCCCUCCGCUCCCUCCUUUCGAGAAGAGCUGGACCUGGAAGGCACUGUUAACCAACGCUGACUUCCAUCUCUGAAGGGGAGACACCUGCAUCCGAGGCUUCAUCCAGAUCUUUAUCACGUGGAACAAGGAUUAUCAAACAGUGAGGUCUUGGAUGCAAAGCUUACUUUUCAAGUGGAUUCAAGAAAGAGGGGUGUGACCAUUAGGUUCUAUGUGUCUUGUGUUAGUCAAGUAAAGAUGACGUCAGUAAUCAAAUUACAGAAUCUAAUCAAGUCUGAUCUUAGUUAUUCUAAAGACAAAGUUGGCGACGAGCCAUUGUUGGUGUAGAUUGAGAUGUCAAGCAGUCAUCUGAGUCCAUACAGCUGGUAAGUAGAAAAGUGGAGUUUAACAGCAGGGAGGUUCCAGCCAGCAGCUGAUUGAGGCAGAUGCUGGGACUUGCAGCCAAGUGCGGGCUGAGCUUCGGGGGUCCUGUGCAAGUGUUGGAGGAAAGAUGGAAGGACCUGGAGGUGACAGAAACCUCACAAGAAGACCAAUAGAGAUAACUAACCCAGUCCCAUGGGGGCUUACAGAGACUAAGACAUCAACCAAGGAACAUGCAUGGUCUGGACCUAGACCACCUGCACAUACGUGGACUAUGUGUGGGCAGCUUGGUCUUCAAAUGGGACACCUGGCGAGUGGAGGAGGGGGCUGUUUCUAACAUGGACUCUAUAUCCUGCUUUGGAUCACUUCCCCUUGGCAGGGCUGCCUUGCCUGGCCUCAAGGGAUGAGGAUAUGCUCAGUCCUGAUGUGACUUGAUGUGCUGGGGAGGGUUGAUAAAGGGGAAGGUGGUUUCCGUCUUUUGGGGCAAAAGGGAGAGGGGAAGAGAGAAGAAGGGGAAGGGAGGACUUGGAGGAGAGCAGGGAGGGACAUCCUUGGGAUGUAAAGUAAAUAAAUUAAUAAUAAAAUUGAAAAUAA